This 418-nucleotide ribosomal RNA is filed under the name uncultured bacterium. RNAcentral's name for it is "bacterial SSU rRNA". It matches the Rfam family "Bacterial small subunit ribosomal RNA", at positions 355 to 773 of the family's 1533-position model. The record is from RNAcentral.
UGAGGAAUAUUGCGCAAUGGGCGAAAGCCUGACGCAGCGACGCCGCGUGGGGGAUGAAGGUCUUCGGAUUGUAAACCCCUUUCGGGAGAGAAGACGGCCUUAGACAACUAAGGCGGACGGUACCUCCAGAAGCAGCCACGGCUAACUUCGUGCCAGCAGCCGCGGUAAUACGAAGGUGGCAAGCGUUGUUCGGAUUUACUGGGCGUAAAGGGAGCGUAGGUGGUUAGGUAAGCCCUCCGGGAAAUCUUCAGGCUUAACCUGAAAAGGUCGGGGGGGACUGCCUGGCUAGAGGACGGGAGAGGAGCGCGGAAUUCCCGGUGUAGCGGUGAAAUGCGUAGAGAUCGGGAGGAAGGCCGGUGGCGAAGGCGGCGCUCUGGAACGUUUCUGACACUGAGGCUCGAAAGCGUGGGGAGCAAAC